This 2751-nucleotide ribosomal RNA is filed under the name Rhabdomonas costata. Its description in RNAcentral is "SSU rRNA". It matches the Rfam family "Eukaryotic small subunit ribosomal RNA". Lineage: Eukaryota; Euglenozoa; Anisonemea; Natomonadida; Astasiidae. The record is from RNAcentral.
GUCAUAUGCUUUGUUCAAGGGCUAAGCCAUGCACGCGUGAGAGCAAGUUGUGCGCCUCUGCCAAACCUGUCUGCGAAUGGCUCAUUGGACCAGCGAUAAUCUCAGCAGAGAGUGGGUCCUUCUCGUGAGUGGGGAGUUCGUGCUUUGCCAGGGCCUUUUGAUACCGCUGGAGUUCUGUCUCUGCGGGCGGAAGGAAGGAAAGUCUUACUCCAAGGCCGAUUCGGCAUACCCUCUCUUUCUGAAACAGUUGGCUAAUACAUGUGCAAUGGGGCAACCCUGUUCAUUCUCCUUCGGGAAUGUGACAGGAUGCACUGGGCUGACACAAAGAAGGAACUUUGCCGCCCCUGCCGGGCAAUUUUCCCUGGGUGGAACCAAGCCUUCUGUGGAGGAUCGAGGGGGUUGGGGGUUGUUCCUGGGCUUCACGGUCUGGGGGCAGCCUCCACUCACGAGAACGGAUUCUACUGCGUAUGGUGCGCUAGUGGAGGCCCUGCGAAGCCCACUACUCUGCCUGAGUUUCUGCCCUAUCAGCCUGCACGGUGGCUCAGUGGACCACGGCGGCGAUGACGGGUAACGCGGAAUUAGGGUUCGAUUCCGGAGAGGGAGCCUGAAAUACGGCUACUACGACCAAGGUUGGCAGCAGGCGCGCAAAUUGCUCAAUAUCGAUGUGCAUUGGUGAAGCAGCGACGAGAAGUGGUACCUUUUAUCGAUCUUUGGAUCGGUACUGGUGGAAUGAAUGAGAACCCAAGGAAUGCAGUGAGCAUCCACUUGUGGGCCAGUCUGGUGCCAGCAGCCGCGGUAAUUCCAGCACAAGUGGCCUACUUUGACGUUGUUGCCGUUAAAAAGCUCGUAGUUGGUUGGCAUCCGAGAAAACCCCGGAAGCCUCACCCCAGGACCCUUCGGCCUCUGUGGGCGGGGCGGAAACGGGCGAUCUUGCCGUGCCCUGCUCAACUCGGGCUUCCUCUCGCACUCUGCCCCUUCCACCCUGCUGUUCCCUCGGGAGCUGUACCGGUGGAUGAGGCAGACGCAAUGGGGGAGAUCCGGGUCUGAGCUUCUCAGUGGGAACGAUUUUCCGAAGUUGGGAGAGUGCGGGUCUGGUCCUCGUGCCGUAGCUUUUGGGCUGCGAGACGUCUCGGAUCGCCGCCUCUCCCGUAACCGCAACGCGUUAAAUGGCCUACAUCCUGAAGCAAGGCUGUGCAGAAUGGCCGGAUGCAGCCCUCUCCCCUGCGGGUGGGGGCUGCAGAAGGCAAAGGAAACGCCCACUGGUUUUGUACCAUGAGCAAAGCUAAGCGCUCCAAGCAAGUUGUCCUUCCUAUCGAUCGGAUGUUCAAGCGUGGCAUAACAAGGGACCGGUCCGAAUGGACCCGAUGUUCUGGCAUUCUUUACUGGCCCGCUUUGGACGAACUUCGCUUCUCGAGGAUGCUCUCGGAGUGCCCCUUCGGACUUGGGCCGGGUGGGGGGGGUGCCGUGCUGAAGUUCCGGGACCGGGGGGGAAUCUUCCCCCCGUCUGGUCCCUCUUCCACGGCCCCCCCCGACCUACCCCUGUUUGAGGGAAUCAGGCCUCUGACCCGAGCCCGGGAACGGAGGUGUUGACCGAGGUCGUUUCUGUGCUCAGGGGACUGGGCGGCGAGCGGUGAAACGCUUUGACCCGUCUCAGGACCACCAAAGGCGAAAGCACUGAGCAGGAUUCGACUUGCCAAUCAAGAGCGAGUGUGCGGUGAUCGAAGAGGAUCAGAUACCCUCGUAGUCCGCGCUGUAAACCGUGCCUACAGAGGAUGCGGGCUGCGUUCCUUCGGAAUGUCAGCCCGUGUCUUUCCCCCGCAACGAGAAAUCCAAGUGUAUGGGUUCAGGGGGGAGUACGGUUGCAAGACUGAAACUUAAAGGAAUUGACGGAAUGGCACCACCAGGCGUGGAGUUUGCGGCUUAAUUUGACUCAACACGGGGAACGUUACCUGGAUAGCACGUGGAAAGGAUAUGACAGGCUGAAGCCCUCUCUUCGAUAACUCGGAAAGUGGUGCAUGGUCGUUCCUGGUUGGUGAAGUGAUUUGUCUGGUUGAUUCCGAUAACGAGCGAGGUCUUCACCUUCCAGUAGCCGGCGUUCUCGCUCGCGUAGGGCCAUUGUGUGGUCCCCUCGCGCCCCCCGGUUCUGGCCCGCAAGGGACCCAGGGCCGGGGGGAUGCCGAGGUCUCCAUGGCCUGAGAGUGACGCACCGGUUGCUUCUCAGUGGGUUCGAGCACUUCGUCCUUGACUAAGUGUUCACAACCGGAAGCCGACAGCAGGUCUGUGAUGCCCUUAGAUGCCCAGGGCUGCACGCGCACGACAAUGCCCCCGUGAGCGUGCAGUUUAUUCCCCUGUGGCCAUCGUGAUUCUCUGGAAAAGGGGAGCGUUCGCGCCCCCCCUGGACCGGCAGUUUCACGACUCCGCAGAGCUAUCCAGGAUACCAUGGUUCGAUGAUGGACUGGGAAAUCCCCGAAGCUGCACUCUCCGGACGUGACUGGGGAUCGGUGAUUGCCACUGUUCUCCUUCAACGAGGAAUGCCCAGUAAGUGCAGGUCAUCAGCCUGCGCUGACUGCGUCCCUGCCAUUUGUACACACCGCCCGUCGUUGCUACCGAUGGCGUUGGGAUAGAGGCCCGAGGAAACUAGUAGCGGGGGAGUCCUGCCGGACUACUCCGGCACUCCCCCGUGAACGAAGAAUUCGGCCAAUAUCCCAUUGCUGGAGGAAGCAAAAGUCGUAACAAGGUAGCUGUAGGUGA